Molecule: ribosomal RNA, 1431 nt
Filed under: Campylobacter jejuni
Lineage: Bacteria; Pseudomonadati; Campylobacterota; Epsilonproteobacteria; Campylobacterales; Campylobacteraceae
Description: partial 23S ribosomal RNA
Rfam family: Bacterial large subunit ribosomal RNA
Source: RNAcentral
UAAAAAAAGGUAAGCUACUAAGAGCGAAUGGUGGAUGCCUUGACUGGUAAAGGCGAUGAAGGACGUACUAGACUGCGAUAAGCUAUGGGGAGCUGUCAAGAAGCUUUGAUCCGUAGAUUUCCGAAUGGGGCAACCCAAUGUAUAGAGAUAUACAUUACCUAUAUAGGAGCGAACGAGGGGAAUUGAAACAUCUUAGUACCCUCAGGAAAAGAAAUCAAUAGAGAUUGCGUCAGUAGCGGCGAGCGAAAGCGCAAGAGGGCAAACCCAGUGCUUGCACUGGGGGUUGUAGGACUGCAAUGUGCAAGAGCUGAGUUUAGCAGAACAUUCUGGAAAGUAUAGCCAUAGAGGGUGAUAGUCCCGUAUGCGAAAAACAAAGCUUAGCUAGCAGUAUCCUGAGUAGGGCGGGACACGAGGAAUCCUGUCUGAAUCCGGGUCGACCACGAUCCAACCCUAAAUACUAAUACCAGAUCGAUAGUGCACAAGUACCGUGAGGGAAAGGUGAAAAGAACUGAGGUGAUCAGAGUGAAAUAGAACCUGAAACCAUUUGCUUACAAUCAUUCAGAGCACUAUGUAGCAAUACAGUGUGAUGGACUGCCUUUUGCAUAAUGAGCCUGCGAGUUGUGGUGUCUGGCAAGGUUAAGCAAACGCGAAGCCGUAGCGAAAGCGAGUCUGAAUAGGGCGCUUAGUCAGAUGCUGCAGACCCGAAACGAAGUGAUCUAUCCAUGAGCAAGUUGAAGCUAGUGUAAGAACUAGUGGAGGACUGAACCCAUAGGCGUUGAAAAGCCCCGGGAUGACUUGUGGAUAGGGGUGAAAGGCCAAUCAAACUUCGUGAUAGCUGGUUCUCUCCGAAAUAUAUUUAGGUAUAGCGUUGUGUCGUAAUAUAAGGGGGUAGAGCACUGAAUGGGCUAGGGCAUACACCAAUGUACCAAACCCUAUCAAACUCCGAAUACCUUAUAUGUAAUCACAGCAGUCAGGCGGCGAGUGAUAAAAUCCGUCGUCAAGAGGGAAACAACCCAGACUACCAGCUAAGGUCCCUAAAUCUUACUUAAGUGGAAAACGAUGUGAAGUUACUUAAACAACCAGGAGGUUGGCUUAGAAGCAGCCAUCCUUUAAAGAAAGCGUAAUAGCUCACUGGUCUAGUGAUUUUGCGCGGAAAAUAUAACGGGGCUAAAGUAAGUACCGAAGCUGUAGACUUGCACACAACUUAGAUUAUUUAAGUUUAGAAUAUGAGAAACUAAGUUAUAUGUUUAGUUAUAUUUUUACUGAUUUUUAUAGAGUAAAGAUAGAAAUAAAACUUAGUAAAAUCAGUAAAAAUAUUCUUAGGCUAAAGUUAAGUAGUUUAAGUUGUGUGCAAGUGGUAGGAGAGCGUUCUAUUUGCGUCGAAGGUAUACCGGUAAGGAGUGCUGGAGCGAAUAGAAGUGAGCAUGCAGG